GAUGAACGCUAGCGGCAGGCCUAACACAUGCAAGUCGAGGGAGAGGUUACCGUCGGGUAACCAACGCCGGCGCACGGGUGCGGAACGCGGAUACAAGCUGCCAUUCACUUAGGGAUAGGGCGACUAAAUUUGGAUAAAUACCUAAUGGUCUAUAAAUGCGGCCUCGUUUUUAUAUUAAAGCUGCUGAGGUGAAAGAUGAGGAUGCGUUCUAUUAGCUCGUUGGAGAUGUAAGGGCUCCCCAAGGCGACUAUACACAGUGGGUCUGAGAGGGACGUCCCCCACACUGGUACUGCGAUACGGACCCGACGCCUACGGGACGCAGCAGUGUGGUACAUUAGGCAGCGGUCGGGAGUCUGAGCCAGCCAUGCCACGUGCAGUCUGACGGUCCUAUGGAUUGUAUACUGCUUUUGUAAGGGAAGAAUAAGAGUUCCGUGUAGUUUGAUGACGGUACCUUAAGAAUAAGCAUCGGCUAACUCCGUG
Molecule: ribosomal RNA, 480 nt
Filed under: uncultured bacterium
Lineage: Bacteria
Description: partial 16S ribosomal RNA
Rfam family: Bacterial small subunit ribosomal RNA
Source: RNAcentral